This 849-nucleotide ribosomal RNA is filed under the name Epiglia gloeocapsae. RNAcentral describes it as "LSU rRNA". It matches the Rfam family "Eukaryotic large subunit ribosomal RNA", at positions 71 to 941 of the family's 3401-position model. Lineage: Eukaryota; Fungi; Ascomycota; Leotiomycetes; Leotiales; Mniaeciaceae. The record is from RNAcentral.
GGGAUUGCCUCAGUAACGGCGAGUGAAGCGGCAACAGCUCAAAUUUGAAAUCUGGCCUUCUGGUCCGAGUUGUAAUUUGUAGAGGAUGCUUCGAGCGUGGUCCGGUCUAAGUUCCUUGGAACAGGACGUCAUAGAGGGUGAGAAUCCCGUAUGUGACUGGGUGCCUAAGCUCAUGUGAAGCUCCUUCGACGAGUCGAGUUGUUUGGGAAUGCAGCUCUAAAUGGGUGGUAAAUUUCAUCUAAGGCUAAAUACUGGCCAGAGACCGAUAGCGCACAAGUAGAGUGAUCGAAAGAUGAAAAGCACUUUGGAAAGAGAGUUAAACAGUACGUGAAAUUGUUGAAAGGGAAGCGCUUGCAACCAGACUUGCAUGCAGUUGAUCAUCCGAUGUUCUCACCGGUGCACUCGAUUGUAUUCAGGCCAGCAUUGGUUUUGGUGGUUGGAUAAAGGCCUAGGGAAUGUAGCUCCUCUCGGGGAGUGUUAUAGCCCUAGGUGCAAUGCAGCCUACCGGGACCAAGGACCGCGCUUCGGCUAGGAUGCUGGCGUAAUGGUUGUAAGCGACCCGUCUUGAAACACGGACCAAGGAGUCUAACAUCUAUGCGAGUGUUUGGGUGCAAAACCCAUACGCGGAAUGAAAGUGAACGGAGGUGAGAACCCUUAAGGGUGCAUCAUCGACCGAUCCUGAUGUCUUCGGAUGGAUUUGAGUAAGAGCAUAGCUGUUGGGACCCGAAAGACAGUGAACUAUACUUGAAUAGGGUGAAGCCAGAGGAAACUCUGGUGGAGGCUCGCAGCGGUUCUGACGUGCAAAUCGAUCGUCAAAUUUGGGUAUAGGGGCGAAAGACUAAUCGAACU